Molecule: ribosomal RNA, 1699 nt
Filed under: Salmonella enterica subsp. enterica serovar Paratyphi A
Lineage: Bacteria; Pseudomonadati; Pseudomonadota; Gammaproteobacteria; Enterobacterales; Enterobacteriaceae
Description: bacterial SSU rRNA
Rfam family: Bacterial small subunit ribosomal RNA
Source: RNAcentral
ACGAAAAAUGAAUACCAAGUCUCAAGAGUGAACACGUAAUUCAUUACGAAGUUUAAUUCAUUGAGCAUCAAACUUUUAAAUUGAAGAGUUUGAUCAUGGCUCAGAUUGAACGCUGGCGGCAGGCCUAACACAUGCAAGUCGAACGGUAACAGGAAGCAGCUUGCUGCUUUGCUGACGAGUGGCGGACGGGNNNNNNNNNNNNNNNNNNNNGAGUAAUGUCUGGGAAACUGCCUGAUGGAGGGGGAUAACUACUGGAAACGGUGGCUAAUACCGCAUAACGUCGCAAGACCAAAGAGGGGGACCUUCGGGCCUCUUGCCAUCAGAUGUGCCCAGAUGGGAUUAGCUUGUUGGUGAGGUAACGGCUCACCAAGGCGACGAUCCCUAGCUGGUCUGAGAGGAUGACCAGCCACACUGGAACUGAGACACGGUCCAGACUCCUACGGGAGGCAGCAGUGGGGAAUAUUGCACAAUGGGCGCAAGCCUGAUGCAGCCAUGCCGCGUGUAUGAAGAAGGCCUUCGGGUUGUAAAGUACUUUCAGCGGGGAGGAAGGUGUUGUGGUUAAUAACCGCAGCAAUUGACGUUACCCGCAGAAGAAGCACCGGCUAACUCCGUGCCAGCAGCCGCGGUAAUACGGAGGGUGCAAGCGUUAAUCGGAAUUACUGGGCGUAAAGCGCACGCAGGCGGUCUGUCAAGUCGGAUGUGAAAUCCCCGGGCUCAACCUGGGAACUGCAUUCGAAACUGGCAGGCUUGAGUCUUGUAGAGGGGGGUAGAAUUCCAGGUGUAGCGGUGAAAUGCGUAGAGAUCUGGAGGAAUACCGGUGGCGAAGGCGGCCCCCUGGACAAAGACUGACGCUCAGGUGCGAAAGCGUGGGGAGCAAACAGGAUUAGAUACCCUGGUAGUCCACGCCGUAAACGAUGUCUACUUGGAGGUUGUGCCCUUGAGGCGUGGCUUCCGGAGCUAACGCGUUAAGUAGACCGCCUGGGGAGUACGGCCGCAAGGUUAAAACUCAAAUGAAUUGACGGGGGCCCGCACAAGCGGUGGAGCAUGUGGUUUAAUUCGAUGCAACGCGAAGAACCUUACCUGGUCUUGACAUCCACGGAAGUUUUCAGAGAUGAGAAUGUGCCUUCGGGAACCGUGAGACAGGUGCUGCAUGGCUGUCGUCAGCUCGUGUUGUGAAAUGUUGGGUUAAGUCCCGCAACGAGCGCAACCCUUAUCCUUUGUUGCCAGCGGUCCGGCCGGGAACUCAAAGGAGACUGCCAGUGAUAAACUGGAGGAAGGUGGGGAUGACGUCAAGUCAUCAUGGCCCUUACGACCAGGGCUACACACGUGCUACAAUGGCGCAUACAAAGAGAAGCGACCUCGCGAGAGCAAGCGGACCUCAUAAAGUGCGUCGUAGUCCGGAUUGGAGUCUGCAACUCGACUCCAUGAAGUCGGAAUCGCUAGUAAUCGUGGAUCAGAAUGCCACGGUGAAUACGUUCCCGGGCCUUGUACACACCGCCCGUCACACCAUGGGAGUGGGUUGCAAAAGAAGUAGGUAGCUUAACCUUCGGGAGGGCGCUUACCACUUUGUGAUUCAUGACUGGGGUGAAGUCGUAACAAGGUAACCGUAGGGGAACCUGCGGUUGGAUCACCUCCUUACCUUAAAGAANNNNNNNNNNNNNNNNNNNNUGCAGUGCUCACACAGAUUGUCUGAUGAAAA